AGAGUAAAUGGAGCUCUGUCAAAUAUGCCCGAAUUUUCAAAAACGUUUAAUUGUCCGUUGAAUAGCAAAAUGAAUCCAAAAAAAAAGUGUGAUUUGUGGUGAUUUGAUGUCUAUCAUGUACGUACGUACUCUAUUUUUUAUUCCUGUUGAAAGGAUACUAAUGUGUUCAAUUUUUAGAUCAGUGAUUCCCCAUAUGCAUUUAUACUUGAUAGCUUUAUCAGUUCCAAAAUGUUCUUCCUAUAUAUAGACCUCCCAGAGGUACAGUAAAGGUUAUCUCUUUUCGGUCCAGUGUUACUACAGGAGGAAACUUAAACUAAAUUUACUUCAGACUGGAUUGCUCUAUGAGUUCUAAACUGUUUUCCCUUGAGGUACAGUAAGGGUCAUCUCUUAUUGUGGUACAAUCAUACUGCCGGAGGAAACCUAAACUAAACUUGCGUUAUUUAUACUGGUCAGCUCUAUAUCGGUGCUAAACUGUUAUCCCUUGAGUUGAGGUACAGUAAGGGUUAUCUGCAUCUCCUAUUAGUACAAUGUUACUACAGGAGGAAAGUUUAACCCAAACUAAACUCACUUUAUUUAUACUGGAUUGCCUCAUUGGUUCUAUUAAACUGUGCUUCCUUGAGGUACAAUAAGGAUCAUCUCUUAUUGAUCCAGUGUUUAAUAUAUACUCAUAGGCGUACCGGGUUGUUUAAAAAAAAAAUUGGAAAAAUUAUGUCAAUUUUUUCGAAAAUUUAGAAAAUUUUGUGGCAAAUGUAGAAAAUUUAGUUAAAUUAUGUGAAGCUCCGAAAAAUUUUGGUAUGUCCGGAAAAUUUUUUUGACCCCUUAAAUGGUACACUGACCUAAAUUUUUUUGGCGACGGGGGGGGGGGAGGUCGCCAAAAUAAAUUUUCCGGAAAAAAAUUUUUGGUACUAGUCGGGCACAAUCACGAAAAGUCGGGCAAUUUUACGAAAAGUCGGGCAAUUUUCUUUCCGCCCCCCUAAUUUUUUCUUUCCGGUACGCCCAUGUAUAUACUACAGGAGGAAACUUGAAUCAAACUAACUUUAUUUAUACUGGAUAUACUAGCUCAAUCAGUUCUAAACUGUUCUCACUUUCGAGGUCCAAUAAGAGCAUACUCUACAGUGGUUCAGUCUUACUGCUUUGAGGUCAACUACUUUGACCACAACGCACAAAUCGUUUCCAGGUCGAGGAAGACCCCAUACAGCCAUAUUUGUCACACAUACACAUUAGUCAAGAAAAACCUGUCCAAUAAUUUCUCGUAUUCACAUUGUCAAGCAAACGAAAGGUUUUAAUUAACAUGCUUGCAUGUCACUAUAGACUAGAGGUGUGCAAAUCUGAUCCGAAACCGAUCCGAAUCCGAUCCGAUCGGAUUCGUUCGGAUUUCGGAACCAAAAUAUUCAUUUCGGAUCGGAUUGAUAAAGUUGUUUCGUAGUCGGAUCGGAUUUCGAUAUUCGAUAUAAAAUGAAUUAAUUAUCCACGCAUUAUCGCAAGAAUUAAUUAUCCACGCAUUUAUCAAAGUAUUAUCGCGGUUGUCGCUGCAUUAUUCGUUUAUUAAUACUUCAAUUGGACGUCACUUUGUCAGCUUCUUAACAUGUAUAUCUUGCUUUUAUAUUUACUUAGUUAAAUAUUUCAACUUGAAAGAGAAAUUUAUUUUAUUAAAGAAUUCUUCGGAUCGGAUCGGAAUUGUUUAUCAAAACUCGGAUCGGAUUCGGAUUAGACAAUUUCGAAUCGGGUCGGAUUUUAAACAUUAGGCAAUUGUCAGAUUAUAAACGUCCAAUCCGAUCCGAUGCACACCUCUACUAUAGACAUUGCAUGUUUAUUGUAUCAUCUAUUUUCGUUCAUGUUUUUCUAGGGUAAAUUUAUCGGGAGCUCUGUCAACUAUGACCGAAUUUUCAAAAACGUUUAACUGUCCGUUGAAUAGCAAAAUGAUCCCAAAAUAAGAUGUGAUGUGUGGUGAUUUGAGAGAGAGAGAGAGAGACGGAUUUAUUAACUUAAGUGCCUGUUUUGUAUAUCGAGUUCUUUAUUUAAUAUUAAAUUGUCAACUAAAAU
RNAcentral lists this long non-coding RNA (2043 nucleotides) under Paramuricea clavata. The record is from RNAcentral. Lineage: Eukaryota; Metazoa; Cnidaria; Anthozoa; Malacalcyonacea; Plexauridae.